CGGGAAGUAGCUCAGUUUGGUCAGAGCACCUGCCUUGGGAGCAGGGGGCCGCAUGUUCAAAUCAUGUCUUCCCGACCA
This 78-nucleotide transfer RNA is filed under the name Paenibacillus allorhizosphaerae. RNAcentral's name for it is "Paenibacillus sp. JJ-447 tRNA-Pro". It matches the Rfam family "tRNA". Rfam says of the family: Transfer RNA (tRNA) molecules are approximately 80 nucleotides in length. Their secondary structure includes four short double-helical elements and three loops (D, anti-codon, and T loops). Further hydrogen bonds mediate the characteristic L-shaped molecular structure. tRNAs have two regions of fundamental functional importance: the anti-codon, which is responsible for specific mRNA codon recognition, and the 3' end, to which the tRNAs corresponding amino acid is attached (by aminoacyl-tRNA synthetases). tRNAs cope with the degeneracy of the genetic code in two manners: having more than one tRNA (with a specific anti-codon) for a particular amino acid; and 'wobble' base-pairing, i.e. permitting non-standard base-pairing at the 3rd anti-codon position. The record is from RNAcentral. Lineage: Bacteria; Bacillati; Bacillota; Bacilli; Caryophanales; Paenibacillaceae.